GAUGAACGCUGGCGGCGUGCCUAAUACAUGCAAGUCGAGCGAACAGACGAGGAGCUUGCUCCUCUGACGUUAGCGGCGGACGGGUGAGUAACACGUGGAUAACCUACCUAUAAGACUGGGAUAACUUCGGGAAACCGGAGCUAAUACCGGAUAAUAUAUUGAACCGCAUGGUUCAAUAGUGAAAGACGGUUUUGCUGUCACUUAUAGAUGGAUCCGCGCCGCAUUAGCUAGUUGGUAAGGUAACGGCUUACCAAGGCAACGAUGCGUAGCCGACCUGAGAGGGUGAUCGGACACACUGGAACUGAGACACGGUCCAGACUCCUACGGGAGGCAGCAGUAGGGAAUCUUCCGCAAUGGGCGAAAGCGUGACGGAGCAACGCCGCGUGAGUGAUGAAGGUCUUCGGAUCGUAAAACUCUGUUAUUAGGGAAGAACAAAUGUGUAAGUAACUAUGCACGUCUUGACGGUACCUAAUCAGAAAGCCACGGCUAACUACGUG
This 497-nucleotide ribosomal RNA is filed under the name uncultured bacterium. RNAcentral's name for it is "partial 16S ribosomal RNA". It matches the Rfam family "Bacterial small subunit ribosomal RNA", at positions 28 to 507 of the family's 1533-position model. The record is from RNAcentral.